GUGGCUUCUGAUGCUUAUUGCACCACAUGUGUUUUUCUUUGAAACAAACUUGCUUUGGCGGUGGGCCCAGCCUGCCGCCAGAGGUCUAAACUUACAACCAAUUUUUUAUCAACUUGUCACACCAGAUUAUUACUAAUAGUCAAAACUUUCAACAACGGAUCUCUUGGUUCUCGCAUCGAUGAAGAACGCAGCGAAAUGCGAUACGUAAUAUGAAUUGCAGAUAUUCGUGAAUCAUCGAAUCUUUGAACGCACAUUGCGCCCUCUGGUAUUCCGGAGGGCAUGCCUGUUUGAGCGUCGUUUCUCCCUCAAACCGCUGGGUUUGGUGUUGAGCAAUACGACUUGGGUUUGCUUGAAAGACGGUAGUGGUAAGGCGGGAUCGCUUUGACAAUGGCUUAGGUCUAACCAAAAACAUUGCUUGCGGCGGCAACGUCUACCACGUAUAUCUUCAAACUUUGACCUCAAAUCAGGUAGGACUACCCGCUGAACUUAAGCAUAUCAAAAGCCGGAGGAA
Molecule: ribosomal RNA, 511 nt
Filed under: Candida albicans
Lineage: Eukaryota; Fungi; Ascomycota; Pichiomycetes; Serinales; Debaryomycetaceae
Description: eukaryotic LSU rRNA
Rfam family: 5.8S ribosomal RNA (bases 144-297)
Source: RNAcentral